UCCUUACGGGAGGCAGCAGUGGGGAAUAUUCGACAAUCGCCGCAAGCGCUAUCCAGCACUACAGGGUGUGUCAAGAAGCCCUCCUGGUGUGAAAUAAUAAGCCGUGAGGAAAGAAACACUUUAAAUCCAUAGCUAUGACGUACCGAAUAAAA
Molecule: ribosomal RNA, 152 nt
Filed under: uncultured Pseudomonas sp.
Lineage: Bacteria; Pseudomonadati; Pseudomonadota; Gammaproteobacteria; Pseudomonadales; Pseudomonadaceae
Description: partial 16S ribosomal RNA
Source: RNAcentral